RNAcentral lists this small nuclear RNA (29 nucleotides) under Arabidopsis thaliana (thale cress). Its description in RNAcentral is "snRNA_04244". The record is from RNAcentral. Lineage: Eukaryota; Viridiplantae; Streptophyta; Magnoliopsida; Brassicales; Brassicaceae.
GAUGCGUCCUGGUCGGAUGCGGAACGGAG